CUGGUAUUUUCAAAAACACCAACUCUGUGCUCCUCUCUAAAACAAAACCCUCACUAUAUAACACAACCCCCCCCCCUCCCACUCGUUUUCUCUUGGAUCCGGUCACCGGAGAUUCUCCGAUCGGCGACCGGUGGCGGGUUCGUUCAUGGCGGCGGCGGAAGAAACAGGGAGAGAGAGAACGAAAGGUGUGGUUGGUCGGAGCUGGUGACGACAAAGGUGACCCCACCUCAGGCAGCGGCGGUGGUGGCCACCCUCUUCUCCGGUGGUGUCAGCGGCACCCACCCCCCCCCCUCAGCAGAUCGAGCAACGACCACCACCAUCGGGUGGUUGUGAAUGACGAGCACAAAAAUCAAGAGAGAGAGAAGGAGAGAGGCGGAGUCGAACGACGGUGGAGGAUUCGAACGACGGAGGUGGAGCUUGUAUACAGCGGGUUCGAGUUUUGGUUCAGCUUUAGUCAAGUUCGGGUCACGGUUCAUUCGGAUCAAAACAGUCAACGAUUUUGGUUCGGGUUCGCGACUCAGUUCGGUGUCGGGUCAGACACACGACUCCGUUCGGGUCGGUGAAGGUGGUUCAAGCUUUAGUUCGGUACAUGUUCAGGCUCGGGGUUAAGUUUGGCUCAACCGGCUCAAGUUCAAUCAACAAAAGUCAGAUCUGAUUUGGUUUAACUCGGGUUGACUCGGUCAAACCGAGUCAACUCAGUGUUCGGGUUAACUCAGUAUGGUUCGACUCGGUUCAACUCGACUCAGCCGGUUCAAAGCAGUCAACGGUUCGGAUAUUUUAGUUUCGGGUCAACAGUAUCAACGCCCGGUCAACUCGAAGAACCGGUAAAGUUUAAGAGUAUCGAGUUAUUAUACGUUAGUUUAGACUUUAGAUUUUUAGACUACGCGAAACCGAGCUCGACCCGAUUAGUUCACGCCUAUACAUUAGCGACUUGUUAUAUUCUUGGCGUUUUUAAUGAAAAUUAUAUCUAUAUAGUG
This is a long non-coding RNA of Helianthus annuus (common sunflower), 977 nucleotides long. RefSeq lists it as uncharacterized. The record is from RefSeq and is a predicted model, not a curated record. NCBI's taxonomy places the organism in Eukaryota, Viridiplantae, Streptophyta, Magnoliopsida, Asterales, Asteraceae. The transcript has 2 exons.